GAUAAACGCUGGCGGCGUGCAUAACACAUGCAAGUCGAACGAUAAAGAUUAAAUGAUUUCUUCGGAAUGAACUUAAUUGGAUUAGUGGCGGACGGGUGAGUAACGCGUGAGUAACCUGCCUUGUACAAGGGGAUAGCCGUUGGAAACGACGAAUAAUACCCUAUGACAUCAAAUAAUCGCAUGAUAAUUUGAUCAAAGAUUUAUCGGUAUAAGAUGGACUCGCGUCUGAUUAGCUAGUUGGUAGAGUAAAAGCCUACCAAGGCAACGAUCAGUAGCCGGCUGGAGAGAGUGUACGGCCACAUUGGGACUGAGACACGGCCCAGACUCCUACGGGAGGCAGCAGUGGGGAAUUUUGCACAAUGGGGGAAACCCUGAUGCAGCGACGCCGCGUGAUUUAGAAGGCCUUCGGGUUGUAAAAAUCUUUUGUAUGGGAAGAAAAUGACAGUACCAUACGAAUAAGGACCGGCUAAUUACGUG
RNAcentral lists this ribosomal RNA (477 nucleotides) under uncultured bacterium. Its description in RNAcentral is "partial 16S ribosomal RNA". It matches the Rfam family "Bacterial small subunit ribosomal RNA", at positions 28 to 507 of the family's 1533-position model. The record is from RNAcentral.